AGCAAAAUGAUAUAGCAAGACUGCCAGGAGAAAGAGCAUAACAAUACUAAAAAUGCAGUUGAGGAGAAUGUCUAUUACUGCAAACACAAGCUGGAUGGUCCCUAUCAGAUGUUUAUAAAUGCUCAAGUAAUGUAUCUUCUGUGCAGCUUUUCCCAGCUCGAUGACACGGCAUUACCUGUAGAGUGACAUGUGAUGUAUUUAGCUCACAGGGACUGUUAUCAACUGACUGUGAUUUAUUCAUAGCGUUCGUUAAUGUUUUCAUGUUUCAGAAGCCCGUUUCUGAUUGCGGAAUCUCUGAAGGCCAUUUUCAGUUCAUGUAUAAAUGAAACAAACUCUCAUUCAUUUCAAUUAGUUAGUAGUUCAUUUGAGCUCUGCAGCUGAAAGGAAAACAAAUCUAAAUGACGCAUAAAACAAACGCUUUUUUCUUCUCUCCAGGACCAUCAGGCGUUCUCUUGAGGUUUUAAAUGGCACAGAGAACUGGCUGUACAAAGAGGGAGCAGACGUACAUUAACAAGCUGGAAGAAAUACAUAAACUGGGUAAGCCUGUGCAAAACAGAUACCAGGAGUCCAUACGGAGACCUAAAAUGUUCAAGGAGCUGUCAGCCAAAAUACAAAGCUACAUGACUAUUAUGGAGGAGUAUAAGAAUGGAGUAAGAAUAAGUUUUCUCUCUCAUUUUCUUCAUCAUAUAUCACAUCUUAUUUGGAACAAUCAUGCUCUGCAAGACACUUUACAGCACAGGGAGGCAUUAUUUUAUAAAUUAUAAUGGAUCUCAUGCAGUUACACAGUCCGAUUUCAGCCAUCAGUCUCUCACAACUGACUAUAAAUAGUGUCUGCUUUCACAUUUAUUCAUUAAGCAGAAGCUUUUAUCCAAAGCGCCUUAUAAAUGAAGAAUGCAACAACACAGCAAUUCAUCCUAAGGAGACUGUAAUAUCAGAAGCACUACAAUACUUUCUUUUAAGUUCCUAAACUGACUAGAAAUGUAUUUUUAUCAAUGGUUGUGUAUUGUAUUUAAAGAAAUACUAUAGCAAAUGUAAAGAAUUUAUUGUCAGUAACUAGGUAUGCACACAAUGGUUAUCAUUUAAUUGUACAUGCUCAUUUACUUUAUUUUUACAUUUAUAUUUUUUACCUUGCUGUGAUCUGAUGUUCACCAGGGUUAUAUAUAUAUAUAUAUAUAUAUAUAUAUAUAUAUAUAUAUAUAUAUUGUUUUAACUUGAUU
Long non-coding RNA from Cyprinus carpio (common carp), 1217 nucleotides. NCBI's taxonomy places the organism in Eukaryota, Metazoa, Chordata, Actinopteri, Cypriniformes, Cyprinidae. The record is from Ensembl.